AUUGAACGCUGGCGGCAUGCCUUGCACAUGCAAGUCGAACGGCAGCACGGGUGCUUGCACCUGGUGGCGAGUGGCGAACGGGUGAGUAAUACAUCGGAACAUGUCCUGUAGUGGGGGAUAGCCCGGCGAAAGCCGGAUUAAUACCGCAUACGAUCUACGGAUGAAAGCGGGGGACCUUCGGGCCUCGCGCUAUCGGGUUGGCCGAUGGCUGAUUAGCUAGUUGGUGGGGUAAAGGCCUACCAAGGCGACGAUCAGUAGCUGGUCUGAGAGGACGACCAGCCACACUGGGACUGAGACACGGCCCAGACUCCUACGGGAGGCAGCAGUGGGGAAUUUUGGACAAUGGGCGAAAGCCUGAUCCAGCAAUGCCGCGUGUGUGAAGAAGGCCUUCGGGUUGUAAAGCACUUUUGUCCGGAAAGAAAUCCUUGGCCCUAAUACGGUCGGGGGAUGACGGUACCGGAAGAAUAAGCACCGGCUAACUACGUG
RNAcentral lists this ribosomal RNA (486 nucleotides) under uncultured bacterium. RNAcentral describes it as "partial 16S ribosomal RNA". It matches the Rfam family "Bacterial small subunit ribosomal RNA", at positions 30 to 507 of the family's 1533-position model. The record is from RNAcentral.